This 427-nucleotide long non-coding RNA is filed under the name Solanum tuberosum (potato). RNAcentral describes it as "long non-coding RNA (STUB_LNC007937)". The record is from RNAcentral. Lineage: Eukaryota; Viridiplantae; Streptophyta; Magnoliopsida; Solanales; Solanaceae.
AAGUAAGGGAAGAAAGCUUUUGAACAUUGAUAAAUAUCAAGUCCCCUCAGUUCGUAUCAAAACAAGGAAAAUUAACUUGUACAAUAAUGGACAACAUGCUUAGCCAACAAAAGGAGAUACAUGGAUCAACAAAAGAUGAGAGUAAAAGGGCCAAAUCUGAAGUGGUAGAGUGCAUCCAACAAAGAGAUAUGGUGAUUAAAGCUCGGGAAUAUCUUCUCCUAUUCGACUUCAACUGCAGAAAAAAGGAAUCAGGGGAGGAGUAUCAAAGAACAAAAAUGAGGAAAAGGUCAACACUUACAGGAAUAUACAGAGAGGCGUUCAUGGCAGCAACUAGAGAGGCAGAAUGAGCUAGAGAAGAGGAAGAACAAAAGAGGAAAAAGUGGAAAUGAUUCUUUUAGGAAAUCCUAAGGGAUAGCUCAUUUUUUAC